Molecule: transfer RNA, 76 nt
Filed under: Enterococcus malodoratus
Lineage: Bacteria; Bacillati; Bacillota; Bacilli; Lactobacillales; Enterococcaceae
Description: tRNA-Glu(ttc)
Rfam family: tRNA
About the family: Transfer RNA (tRNA) molecules are approximately 80 nucleotides in length. Their secondary structure includes four short double-helical elements and three loops (D, anti-codon, and T loops).
Source: RNAcentral
UGGCCCGUUGGUCAAGCGGUAAAGACACCGCCCUUUCACGGCGGUAACACGGGUUCGAGUCCCGUACGGGUCAUCC